This 776-nucleotide ribosomal RNA is filed under the name Gammarus balcanicus. Its description in RNAcentral is "eukaryotic LSU rRNA". It matches the Rfam family "Eukaryotic large subunit ribosomal RNA", at positions 157 to 623 of the family's 3401-position model. The record is from RNAcentral. Lineage: Eukaryota; Metazoa; Arthropoda; Malacostraca; Amphipoda; Gammaridae.
UAAGUCAGCCACGAAUAGGCUAUCCCAACUAACGGCGGGAAAGACUCCAUGGAGGGUGUAAGACCCGUGUGGGCGCGUGUUAAAGCUGUGCGGGCUCGGCCUCUUUUCCCUGAGAGUCGCGUUGCUUGAGCAUGCAGCGCUAAGCAGGUCGUAAACUCGAUCUAAGGCUAAAUAUGUCCACAGAACCGAUAGCGAACAAGUACCGUGAGGGAAAGUUGAAAAGCACUCUGGAGAGAGAGUCAAAAGACCGUGAAACCGCUCAGAGUAUAAGCCCAUGGCAGCUUGGAAGGCAUAUCGAAAGCGGGGCAUCGGUCUUCCUUCGCGGGGAGCCGGUGUUACCUUGCGUCUGUUGUGGCUCGUCAAGGUAGGGGGGUCAGGUCCACAUCCCGCCAUCGUGUGGGGGGUUCUUGGGUGUGUUGUGGUUUGUCGGUUGGCUUCGGCUUUCAGGCGGGCUCUUCGUGCUCGGUUCCUCUUUAGACACGGACGUUCAGACUCAGAUGCAAGACGCGAUAAACAGCCCACCACGGCACGUUGUGAGGUCACCCACAGGCUCGACUUUUGAUUGUGAGCCUUGACGCUGAGCAAGCACUAUGCGUGUCGCUGAGGUUCCUAACCAGGCAACAGAGCCAGGAUCGUGGAACGACACGCGCUCAACAGUCAGGUUCGGGCGGAGACAGAGUUCUGGUAUGAUCCUCUUGCGACGAGCCGGCUUCUGGCCAACAUCCGAUGCUCAGGUCUCCCGCAUGUGCCGCGGGAGAUCGCCUUGACGGUCUGGA